UACAGAGGGUGCGAGCGUUGUCCGGAAUCACUGGGCGUAAAGGGCGCGUAGGUGGUGGCUUAAGCGUGCGGUGAAAGCUCGGGGCUCAACUCCGAGUCGGCCGUGCGAACUGGGCUCACUGGAGCAUAGUAGAGGCAGGUGGAAUUCCGGGUGUAGCGGUGGAAUGCGUAGAGAUCUGGAGGAACACCGGUGGCGAAGGCGGCAUCCUGGACCAACACUGACACUGAGGAGCGAAAGCCAGGGGAGCAAACGGG
This 254-nucleotide ribosomal RNA is filed under the name uncultured bacterium. Its description in RNAcentral is "partial 16S ribosomal RNA". It matches the Rfam family "Bacterial small subunit ribosomal RNA", at positions 524 to 776 of the family's 1533-position model. The record is from RNAcentral.